This 1180-nucleotide long non-coding RNA is filed under the name Bemisia tabaci. RNAcentral describes it as "lncRNA ENSSWEETPG003093". Lineage: Eukaryota; Metazoa; Arthropoda; Insecta; Hemiptera; Aleyrodidae. The record is from RNAcentral.
AUGAAGCUUCUGAACUUCCUCCCAUUAUAUCUGUGGAUGGUGUUGCACCUUUAUGUGUGGAUAGAUCCACUGUCAGAUGUGUCCAGCCUCAUGAAUUUGAAAAUAUUGCUCUCGCACAAAAACGGAUACGAAGGAAAAAACCAAUCCAAAGAAAUCGUAGAAUGAAAGUAAGCUCAGGUAAUUCGAAAUUCUAACAUCAUUAACUUAUUCAAAGAUUAAUUUCUCCUAAUUUCCUGCUUUUAGAAAAAUCUGAAAUGAUUUGAUAAAGAACUCCUCUGCUGUGCUAAGGAAGAACGCCGUAUGAACAUUCGAGAGUUGCCAAUUUUUCUUUCAGUUAAAUGUUUAUUUUGAGGAAAGUUAUGAAUAUUUCUCCUUGAAAUUUUCAGGGACUUUAGGUGAAAUUGCGAGCAAAAUUAUCUGAAAAAUUAGAGGGAGAAUAUUCAUAAGUUUACCAGGAAAUUCGUGUUUUAUCAAGGCAAACUUGGCAACGCCUGAAGGUUCUUACGGCUUUCUUCCUUAGCGCGGCAGUAUUCAAGUGUUACAUAAUCCGAUGAAAUCUUUCCUAAUUUAUUUUUCCUCUCCUGGAGUGUUUGGUCAAUUGCAAAAGCAUGAAAAGCUCAAAGCUCAUCUUAAUAAAACAUUUAAUUGCUCUAAUCCAUCAUAAAAUGGAUUAAUGAGCAACAAUAACAUAAGGUAAUAAUAUAAUGUGGAUUAUUUAAAAUUUUACCUGUUUUUCAGGUAAAAGAAAUCCCUAUUUUCUAAUUGAUUAAUUUUUAUUUAAAAGCCACUUUGUCUAUUCUUUGUUUGCCAAAAUACGAAGGCUGUUCCCAAAAAACUGAAAGUUGGUCUGUUUUGAGGAAAUUUUUGACGUUAUAGUAAUAUAGGCUGUAAGAGGUUGCACCUUCUUUUAUUAACUUUCUAACGAACCCCUGUUAAACUCAUUCCUUAGUAGUAACAGAGCUCAAUUUGUAUUUUUUAAAGAAUACAAAGAAAAGAUGAUGGUAAUGGAUGCACAAUAAUUUUAUGACAAAAAUAGGAAAUUUUUGCUGUAAGUAUCCUCUUUUAACUAUCUCGCCAUUUAAUGAGAGACACAGCUGCUAUGUAAACAAUGUAUGAAUGAUAGUUAAAUGUUCCUGGUCUCCUUUAUGAAAUAAUUGUCACGAAAAGUUCAAAGAAAGUU